UUUCAUGGGUUUCUAAACCCCAUUUCUUAUGAUUUAAGGUAUUGGUUUUAAAAUCAAAAUUUUACUAACCAAACACUAAGUAUGGAUUUAACGCAUUCUAAACCCACACACCUCUUAGAGAGCCAUAUAACAUAUUCCUAUAAACUCCAUCCAUUCAAGUGUUUUUUUUUUUGGAAACCCUAGCCCACUUGGACAAUAACUUAGAUUCUUCCACUUAAGCUAUUGUAAAAAAAAAAACUCGAAGUUAAAAAAAAAAAUAAGAGACUCACGGUGAGGUGACCGUUGUAAACCGCGUCAAAUUCAAUAGUACAUCUCGAUUGCUCUAAUAAUUUAGGUUUACCUCUUUUUCGUUAAUUUCAUCUCGAUUGCUUAAUUUUGAAUUUUUUCUUGAUUCGCUCCUUCAAUUGACGUUUUGGAUUGCUUGCUAUAUUUAUAUUCUCAUUUCUUUUCCGAUUUGUCGAUGAACAAGUUAUUUUCAACGAAACUCUCAAUGCAUCUGAUCGAGACAGCCUCUCAUAUUCUGAAACAGGUUCAAAAAAUUGAGACUCGUAAAAAAGAGUGGCGUUAUUUUGUCCAUUACCUUAUGCAAAAAUGGAUAAAGAGGAACCGAAGAACAAUGCGAUGGGUGUUGUUUGUGGAGGGGAAUACGGACAUGAUGGUUUAUAACCCCCUCUCCGUGCAAUCACAGGUGAGUUUCCUCUUUUGGCUUCUUAUACUUAUCUCUUAGGGCUAUGUAUAGCUUUUUCUAUGAGUUAAUGGUCAUCAAUCUUAAAAUUUCCCUGGCCCUGGUAUUAUGUUUACUCCAACAGCACUGCCCUAACUGGUUCUCUAAAGUUCAAGUUUGACCUUUGAACAAUAACUUUCAGGUUUAAUAAGUCAAGAUAAGCUCAAAUAAGUUCAGAUUAGUUUAGAUAAGUUCAAAUAAUUCCUAACACGUUAUGAAAGUUCCAAUAACUUUCAGGAGAGAAUACGCCUUUAGAUGACUAUCUUUGUUCCUUAUGGUCUUCUUUUAUAUUACUCUACUUUUCAAUAAUUGUAGCUUGCAGGAAUAAUUGUUGUUCAAAAAUAUAUAUAUAAUUAUCAAGAGAUGUUCAAAAUUAAUAUAGUUCCUGUUGUUCAAAAUUUCAAGUGUCACGGCAGCAUUUUUUCAAAUGUAGCUGUCUAUAUUUAAAAAAGUGCGGUUUUAAAAAAAUAUUUCUACCUUCCUUCCCAGCUGGUUUUGUAUUUCAAGAUAAAAGAGUGAUUAAUUUUUUAGUUUCUCAGGAAAAACAAGUGCGAGUAAGUGUGUGCACAGUAAGCUCUUGGUUGUGAGAGGACAUCACUGUUUAAUUCUUGUCUUUAGUGUCUUGUCUCUUUUCGCUCUCAUUAAAUUAAAUAAAAUUAAAUAUACUGUCUUUUUUUGCUCAUUAAAUUGUUGAGUUAUGGUGCGUGGUGUUCAUUUUUGGUGAUGGGGCACAUUUAUACUUUAAAAGAACACAAACUUUUUUUUUCAACAACUUUUCUACUUUAAAAAAAAACACAAGAAUUAAAGAAAAUUAAAGUUAUAUUUAUAAAAGAACAAUGAUAACAAAAUUAUCUUUAGUUGCAAAAUAAUAAUUUUAAAAAUAAUAAAAUGAC
Molecule: long non-coding RNA, 1617 nt
Organism: Beta vulgaris subsp. vulgaris (sugar beet)
Lineage: Eukaryota; Viridiplantae; Streptophyta; Magnoliopsida; Caryophyllales; Amaranthaceae
Exons: 5
Source: RefSeq, a predicted model, not a curated record